This 506-nucleotide ribosomal RNA is filed under the name uncultured bacterium. RNAcentral describes it as "partial 16S ribosomal RNA". It matches the Rfam family "Bacterial small subunit ribosomal RNA", at positions 29 to 523 of the family's 1533-position model. The record is from RNAcentral.
AGUGAACGCUGGCGGUAGGCCUAACACAUGCAAGUCGAACGGCAGCACAGGAGAGCUUGCUCUCUGGGUGGCGAGUGGCGGACGGGUGAGGAAUACAUCGGAAUCUACUUUUUCGUGGGGGAUAACGUAGGGAAACUUACGCUAAUACCGCAUACGACCUACGGGUGAAAGCAGGGGAUCUUCGGACCUUGCGCGAUUGAAUGAGCCGAUUUCGGAUUAGCUAGUUGGCGGGGUAAAGGCCCACUAAGGCGACGAUCCGUAGCUGGUCCGAGAGGAUGAUCAGCCACACUGGAACUGAGACACGGUCCAGACUCCUACGGGAGGCAGCAGUGGGGAAUAUUGGACAAUGGGCGCAAGCCUGAUCCAGCCAUACCGCGUGGGUGAAGAAGGCCUUCGGGUUGUAAAGCCCUUUUGUUGGGAAAGAAAUCCAGCUGGUUAAUACCCGGUUGGGAUGACGGUACCCAAAGAAUAAGCACCGGCUAACUUCGUGCCAGCAGCCGCCGUAA